AGCCCUUAUAUUCAGCCGCCACCUGCUUCUCACAAAGCCAACCUGCCAAUUCCAUUCUAUGGCCUUAUAAUAAUUGGGACAGCAGCUAUCCUAUUAGUCAUGUACAAUCUUAUCUUCAUCAAGUGGUGCUCGAAUCGUCGAAGUCAGGACCUGUCAGCCCAGAGACCUGGCCGAUUUAUAGAGGCAACAGCAAGUAGCCACAGUUUGAACUCGUCCACUUUCAAGUUCAGGAAGGAUGAUAAUAUGGGUUCCCAAGGCCAGGGAAGCGAUUAUGAAUGUGCUGUUUGCUUGUCGGUUUUUGAAGAGGGAGAGGAGAUCAGGCAAUUGCCCGGAUGCAACCACUCCUUUCAUGCUCCUUGUAUA
This 363-nucleotide unclassified non-coding RNA is filed under the name Hevea brasiliensis (rubber tree). Lineage: Eukaryota; Viridiplantae; Streptophyta; Magnoliopsida; Malpighiales; Euphorbiaceae. The record is from RNAcentral.